UGGGGAAUAUUGGACAAUGGGCGCAAGCCUGAUCCAGCCAUGCCGCGUGAGUGAUGAAGGCCUUAGGGUUGUAAAGCUCUUUCGCCGGUGAAGAUAAUGACGGUAACCGGAGAAGAAGCCCCGGCUAACUUCGUGCCAGCAGCCGCGGUAAUACGAAGGGGGCUAGCGUUGCUCGGAAUCACUGGGCGUAAAGCGCACGUAGGCGGAUCGUUAAGUCAGGGGUGAAAUCCUGGAGCUCAACUCCAGAACUGCCCUUGAUACUGGCGAUCUCGAGUUCGAGAGAGGUUGGUGGAACUCCGAGUGUAGAGGUGAAAUUCGUAGAUAUUCGGAAGAACACCAGUGGCGAAGGCGGCCAACUGGCUCGAUACUGACGCUGA
RNAcentral lists this ribosomal RNA (377 nucleotides) under uncultured bacterium. Its description in RNAcentral is "partial 16S ribosomal RNA". It matches the Rfam family "Bacterial small subunit ribosomal RNA", at positions 355 to 749 of the family's 1533-position model. The record is from RNAcentral.